UAGCUCAGUUGGUAGAGUGCUUGCUUUGCAAGCAUCAAGGCCCUGGGUUCAAUCCCCAG
Molecule: transfer RNA, 59 nt
Filed under: Urocitellus parryii (Arctic ground squirrel)
Lineage: Eukaryota; Metazoa; Chordata; Mammalia; Rodentia; Sciuridae
Also listed under: 1 other name
Description: Spermophilus parryii (Arctic ground squirrel) tRNA
Rfam family: tRNA
About the family: Transfer RNA (tRNA) molecules are approximately 80 nucleotides in length. Their secondary structure includes four short double-helical elements and three loops (D, anti-codon, and T loops). Further hydrogen bonds mediate the characteristic L-shaped molecular structure. tRNAs have two regions of fundamental functional importance: the anti-codon, which is responsible for specific mRNA codon recognition, and the 3' end, to which the tRNAs corresponding amino acid is attached (by aminoacyl-tRNA synthetases). tRNAs cope with the degeneracy of the genetic code in two manners: having more than one tRNA (with a specific anti-codon) for a particular amino acid; and 'wobble' base-pairing, i.e. permitting non-standard base-pairing at the 3rd anti-codon position.
Source: Rfam by way of RNAcentral